CUACGGGCGGCUGCAGUGGGGAAUAUUGGGCAAUGGGCGCAAGCCUGACCCAGCAACGCCGCGUGAGGGAAGAAGGUUUUCGGAUUGUAAACCUCUGUCCUUGGGGACGAAGAAGUGACGGUACCCAAGGAGGAAGCUCCGGCUAACUACGUGCCAGCAGCCGCGGUAAUACGUAGGGAGCAAGCGUUGUCCGGAAUUACUGGGCGUAAAGGGUGCGUAGGCGGCAUAUUAAGUCAGGUGUGAAAUACUCGGGCUCAACCCGGGGGCUGCAUUUGAAACUGAUAUGCUGGAGGGUGAGAGAGGAAAGUGGAAUUCCUAGUGUAGCGGUGGAAUGCGUAGAUAUUAGGAGGAACACCAGUGGCGAAGGCGACUUUCUGGCUCAUAACUGACGCUGAGGCACGAAAGCGUGGGGAGCAAACAGGAUUAGAUACCCGCGUAGUC
Molecule: ribosomal RNA, 441 nt
Filed under: uncultured bacterium
Lineage: Bacteria
Description: partial 16S ribosomal RNA
Rfam family: Bacterial small subunit ribosomal RNA
Source: RNAcentral